RNAcentral lists this ribosomal RNA (447 nucleotides) under uncultured bacterium. RNAcentral describes it as "bacterial SSU rRNA". It matches the Rfam family "Bacterial small subunit ribosomal RNA", at positions 355 to 825 of the family's 1533-position model. The record is from RNAcentral.
UGGGGAAUUGUUCACAAUGGGCGAAAGCCUGACCCAGCAACGCCGCGUGAAGGAUGAAGUAUUUCGGUAUGUAAACUUCGUAAGAAUAGGAAGAAUAAAUGACGGUACUAUUUGUAAGGUCCGGCUAACUACGUGCCAGCAGCCGCGGUAAUACGUAGGGACCAAGCGUUGUUCGGAUUUACUGGGCGUAAAGGGCGCGUAGGCGGCGUGGUAAGUCAUCUGUGAAAUCUCCGAGCUUAACUCGGAACGGUCAGAUGAUACUGCUGUGCUAGAGUACAGAAAGGGCAAUCGGAAUUCUUGGUGUAGCGGUGAAAUGCGUAGAUAUCAAGAGGAACACCUGAGGCGAAGGCGGGUUGCUAGGCUGAUACUGACGCUGAGGCGCGAAAGCUAGGGUAGCAAACGGGAUUAGAUACCCAUGUAGUCCCUGAGCGGGCUGGCAAGGCGCAU